This 899-nucleotide ribosomal RNA is filed under the name Vibrio parahaemolyticus. Its description in RNAcentral is "bacterial SSU rRNA". It matches the Rfam family "Bacterial small subunit ribosomal RNA", at positions 56 to 936 of the family's 1533-position model. The record is from RNAcentral. Lineage: Bacteria; Pseudomonadati; Pseudomonadota; Gammaproteobacteria; Vibrionales; Vibrionaceae.
UGCAGUCGAGCGGAACGAGUUAUCUGAACCUUCGGGGGACGAUAACGGCGUCGAGCGGCGGACGGGUGAGUAAUGCCUAGGAAAUUGCCCUGAUGUGGGGGAUAACCAUUGGAAACGAUGGCUAAUACCGCAUGAUGCCUACGGGCCAAAGAGGGGGACCUUCGGGCCUCUCGCGUCAGGAUAUGCCUAGGUGGGAUUAGCUAGUUGGUGAGGUAAGGGCUCACCAAGGCGACGAUCCCUAGCUGGUCUGAGAGGAUGAUCAGCCACACUGGAACUGAGACACGGUCCAGACUCCUACGGGAGGCAGCAGUGGGGAAUAUUGCACAAUGGGCGCAAGCCUGAUGCAGCCAUGCCGCGUGUGUGAAGAAGGCCUUCGGGUUGUAAAGCACUUUCAGUCGUGAGGAAGGUAGUGUAGUUAAUAGCUGCAUUAUUUGACGUUAGCGACAGAAGAAGCACCGGCUAACUCCGUGCCAGCAGCCGCGGUAAUACGGAGGGUGCGAGCGUUAAUCGGAAUUACUGGGCGUAAAGCGCAUGCAGGUGGUUUGUUAAGUCAGAUGUGAAAGCCCGGGGCUCAACCUCGGAAUUGCAUUUGAAACUGGCAGACUAGAGUACUGUAGAGGGGGGUAGAAUUUCAGGUGUAGCGGUGAAAUGCGUAGAGAUCUGAAGGAAUACCGGUGGCGAAGGCGGCCCCCUGGACAGAUACUGACACUCAGAUGCGAAAGCGUGGGGAGCAAACAGGAUUAGAUACCCUGGUAGUCCACGCCGUAAACGAUGUCUACUUGGAGGUUGUGGCCUUGAGCCGUGGCUUUCGGAGCUAACGCGUUAAGUAGACCGCCUGGGGAGUACGGUCGCAAGAUUAAAACUCAAAUGAAUUGACGGGGGCCCGCACAAGCGGUGGA